GAUGAACGCUAGCGGCAGGCUUAAUACAUGCAAGUCGUGGGGCAGCGCAGUGUAGCAAUACAUGGGCGGCGACCGGCAAACGGGUGCGGAACACGUACACAACCUUCCUACAAGUGGGGAAUAGCCCAGAGAAAUUUGGAUUAAUACCCCGUAACAUAUAAAGAUGGCAUCAUUUUAUAUUAUAGCUACGGCGCUUGUUGAUGGGUGUGCGGCUGAUUAGGUAGUUGGCGGGGUAAUGGCCCACCAAGCCUGCGAUCAGUAGCUGAUGUGAGAGCAUGAUCAGCCACACGGGCACUGAGACACGGGCCCGACUCCUACGGGAGGCAGCAGUAAAGGAAUAUUGGACAAUGGGCGCAAGCCUGAUCCAGCCAUGCCGCGUGAAGGAUUAAGGUCCUCUGGAUUGUAAAC
RNAcentral lists this ribosomal RNA (408 nucleotides) under uncultured bacterium. RNAcentral's name for it is "bacterial SSU rRNA". It matches the Rfam family "Bacterial small subunit ribosomal RNA", at positions 28 to 430 of the family's 1533-position model. The record is from RNAcentral.